RNAcentral lists this unclassified non-coding RNA (217 nucleotides) under Nakaseomyces sp. UFMG-CM-Y6196. The record is from RNAcentral. Lineage: Eukaryota; Fungi; Ascomycota; Saccharomycetes; Saccharomycetales; Saccharomycetaceae.
AAACACUCUGUUUGGUAGUGAGUGAUACUCUCUUUUUGAGUUAGCUUGAAAUUGUUGGCCACUCGUGCGGAAGCGUGCGUGAGGGUUGUUUUCAUUGGGAGUUCCGCAAUGAGAAUAUCGUAUUAGGUUUUACCAACUUCGGUGUUUUCUGUUGUGGGAUGCUAAUCCUUGUGUUAGACUCUUGUGCUGUGUCUGCCGGCAAACAAAGACCUUUAAG